Long non-coding RNA from Brienomyrus brachyistius, 2274 nucleotides. RefSeq lists it as uncharacterized. The transcript is spliced from 3 exons. NCBI's taxonomy places the organism in Eukaryota, Metazoa, Chordata, Actinopteri, Osteoglossiformes, Mormyridae. The record is from RefSeq and is a predicted model, not a curated record.
UAAAUUAGCCACAACCUUUUGUUUAUCAGGUAAUAAUUCAGCUAAUAAUUUUGCGGUGUUUUAAAUGCAUAUUUCACCACACUGAUAAGAUUAAACGUGGAAUAUGAAGUGCAGCGCGGAAAGACAACGACUCUAUGUUUCUUUUAGCGACAUCACUCAGGGAUGCGCAUGAUUCUCAUCUGACACCUGAGCGCUUACCGCAUCUGCGUGUUUACCGGAAGACAGACACCUUAAUGACUAUCGAUUAGAGCCGGGAGAUCAGAACCCCCAGUGAACAGCUGCGAAGGUAAGUUCUACUCUUAAUUGGUGCUGUCGGAGGAUAAAAUAAGUUGAUAUCGGAAGUUUCUGUGUGUCCGUUUGAACCACACAAAUACAAGAACAAAAGGUUGAACUGCAGUCACUAGCGCGAACCUUAAUAACUUUUCGGUAAUUUACAAAAUUACGCAGAUAAAAACGUAGGGGCUCCAUCUUUUUCUUAAUUCAUUUAGAUAGCAUGCAGAUUUAAUUUAAAUGGUUUGUGCAUCACCAUGUGACUGUAACUUCCAGGGAUGAUCACAAAAUGUGAAGAAUUUAAGUGAUUUUCAUCUACUACAUACGUGUAAAAACGUAUGAAAACCUCUUAGCAAUAAAAAUCUUGGAAGUCUCUCUUAUUUGUCAUAAGUAACCUACUAUUAUACGCAAGUAUUACUUACAAGGUUACUUAUAACUGUGCUAAAAAUUAAAUAACGCGUGCUCUCAAGCUGUUAACCUUUGAGUCGUUUAGGCUUGACGGCGGAUUCGCUCACAUUAGCCGUAAAAUGGAUCGCGAAAGGAGACAGCAGCAAAAGACGAACGCGGGACGGAGACGCUGUCCUUCCGCCCGCAAUCAUGGAGAAGGAGAAAAUUAAUCGGAUUGCAUUUCAGUGUGUAAUUUGCUAAAGCGGGCUAACAAGAGAACAAAAGUGUUUGUCAAUCACCUUUAAUCAAUCAUCGCAUUUAAAUGCACAACAUUAAUCAAAGAAGAUCAUGGACUAAGCACAACAGCACCCAUAAUAAACAUUUUUCCUGUAAUGGGAUUCCAAUAAUAUAAAUAUGAUUAAAGGCAAAUCGGAAGUUAUAAACCGUGACUGAUGAAUUAAAACAAUCUCCCUUCAAGCAAGAUUCAAGUAAUGCCAAGGUCACAUUUAAAGGGAUUUACACUAUAAAAUAUUAUCUUAAUAGGCUGAGUGAAGGGAGAAUAGUAUGGAAUUACCCCAAAGUCAUGUGCGAUUUUGUAAACUAUGGGAAAAAUUUGCAGACAGGCAUAAUGCUGCAUGCAGAGUUUAAUCAUGAAUGCAGAGCGGCUGACUUCAUUACUGCGUCCCCUUAUUUGGACAGUGACCUUGUAUCCGCCUUAUUACCGUGUCACGGCUCCUCUCUGGUGCGACUGGGACUGCGUCAGACUCGAUAUGCGUCUACGCUCCUGACCCGGAAGCCGCCAUCCGACUAAAGACAGGAGUCCGACAGACAUGCCGGGUGGUGUACGCGACACCUCAUGGCUCGGCACUUUGACCGAUUCGGUUGUUGCGGGUCCUGGAGCUCCCAUGAAUGCAGAAGAAGCUCACUGUGUGUGGCUGGACAUGCAGAUCCCAGGACAGCACCAGAAAUCCCUCCAUUAUACAUCCACUCCAACCUAUGCAAGGAUUACCUUAUUUUCUCAAGUAUAUAAGUCGAAACGGAUGAAGAGUCAGAAGAUAAAUGGACAUUUCAAUACUCUCCAUGGUAUUACUUCAGCAAUUACACUUGCCAAAGCAGAAAUUAUUACUGGAAAUGCGCAAACAAGGGAAGAUACAGCAGACAUACAGGGAGCAACGUGGCAGCCAGAUCAUCGAGGAAGCAGCUGGGAGAAUGCAGCUUGUGUUCAUCGUGACCCACAAAAGCUACAGGACAUCUCAGGCACAGACAGAAUACAACAUAAAGCUGGAUUUUUAAUGUAAAAGCUGCAUUUUCAAAAUGUUUUAUAUUGUUUUUUGCCCCUGUGUUUUAACGUUUGAACGCUAUAUCAAAAUGCUUGGUUUGGUGCUGUCUGUUUUUAACACAUGAGAAAUGUGACUGUUCUUUUUAUCUAAUCACCAGUAAAUCUAAUAUAUAUUCCUGCUAUUUCACUGCCUGUGGAUUUGGUCUGCAUUCAGUGAGUGAUUAAGUUUUGCGAUCAACAAAGUCUUAAUAAUGUAUAUUAAACAGUCGGCUGACUGAUUUUAUGGGUUUUUUUCGGACAAUCUUUUGCGGGCAGUAGCUAAUUUUGAGAAACGUUCA